UGCACCACUGCACUCCAGCCUGGGAAACAGAGUGAGGCUCUGUCUGAAAAAAGAAAAAAAAAAGCAAAGUUAACACUUCCUCCAUCUCUCCCCUGGGGGAGGCAAUUUGUCAAAGAUUGUUGUUGGAUUUUACACACAGGGAAAUCUAAGGAAAGUGUGGAAAUCAGACCAAGACUCCAGACUCUGGUCUCUCUGUUUGCAGGGUCUUAAAACGGGGAGCCACUUUGGGUUCUUUCUACAAGAUUGCUUAUAUAAAAACAAACAAACAAACAAAAAACUCAAAAAAAAAAAAAGAGCCCUGACCUAAAUAUUCACAAGGGACCUUAGGCAAUAUCUGCAAACAAAAGUGAGUGAGGAGUGGAAUCUGUCGUCUUUACAACUAAGACAGCUCCAGAGUUGAAGCAAGUGGAAAUAUCUAGAGACAGAGAUUUGGGCAGGUUUUGCCACUUACAAGCUAUGAGAACCUGGGCAGGUUUACAUCUCUGAGCUUCUGUGACCUUGUAAAAUAGGCUGCAUUGCGCUAAACUUGCAGGAGGAAUCCCAGCAUCCUCCUGUGCACAAGGCUGGUUUCUUCCCAUCCUUUUCCUUGUUCUGCCUCUCUCCUCCUCUCCGAGAGAUGAAUACAUUUGGAGCCAAUAGGGGCCUAUGUUUGCAAAAGCUCGCAGGUGAUUAUCAUGCAGCCAGCCUGGCUCUGGCACUGAGUUCUUGGACACUUCUGGAGGCGCAUUUACUAGUGAGGAAGGUCACUGUGUGUGAAAGGCAUGCUUCAUCUUCCAUUCCUUUCUUCCAUGAAGCAAGAUGCGUGGGUCGACUGAGCUGGGAGAGUCCACGGUGUCAGCCUCCCCGACGCUUCCCUCCCUCCUUAUUCCUUGUGUGUGUACUUUCUCUUGAUUUCCUGUACUCUGCACCAAGCCAGGAGAUGGUCUGUUCUUCCCCUGGAUUGUAAACUCCUUGAAGUCUGGGUCAUCUCAGCUCAUGAGCUGAGCUUUCAGUGGGUGCUCAGUGGAACAGGUGCUGAAUGGAGUCAGGCUGUAGGGAGGCCAGCGUGUGUUGGUAAGUGAGAGACAAAAAUCAUUUUAAAAAGAAUCUUUUUGCCCUUCAAUUGUGUUUGCCAUGAGUUAAUGUGAUUUACUCUAGUGGAAGCCAGUGCAGCUUAAGUGGAGGUCUNNNNNNNNNNNNNNNNNNNNCAACAAAAACCAUAGGAUACCAAUGCUGGAGGAAGAAGCAUCAUCCUCAGUUUCUACUAACUCAACCACGCAUGAGAUGGGGAUUUGGUGUCCGAGAGAAAAGCUUCUUUUUGGGUCUUGAACCUUGAUCACACCAUUUCUGAAUUCCUCAUACACAUAUAAUCAGGUGCUAUGAGUGGUACUGAUUGGAUAAUCUUUCUGUCGUUUCCUGUGCUAGGAAGGAAAGUACAUGUACAGCCAACUUCCUUGAGGGUUCGUUCUUUUGCAUCAGGGUGUCUCAAACUGCUGCCCUUAAAACACCUGUAAGAGAAGCAUCCAGGGGGCUUGCUCGGUCUGCAUGCAGACCCUUUAGAAUCAGAGUCAGAAUCCCUGGGGCUGGAGCCACAAAAUGACAUGACAUUUCAACGAGUUUGUCAUCAUGUGAGAGAGAAUAGGUGAGUAUUUGGAUACCUAUAAUACAAAGUAGAUUCAAAAAGAAUGACUUGAUUAUUUUAAAUGUUGUGUUUUUAAAAAUUUAAUACAGAAAAGGCUGGGCAUGGUGGCUCAUGCCUGUAAUCUUAGCACUUUGGGAGGCCAAGGCCGGUGGAUCAUUUGAGGUCAGGAGUUCAAGACCAGCCUGGCCAACAAGGUGAAACCCCAUCUCUACUAAAAAUAUAAAAAUUAGCCAGGCAGUAGUGGUGCUUGCCUGUAAUCCCAGCUACGUGGGAGGCUGAGGAAGGAGAAUUGCUUAAGCCUGGGAGGCAGAGAUUUGGUGAGCUGAGAUCGUACCACUGCACUCCAAUGUGGAUGACGAUUGUUUAACCACCACCAACAUGGGUUCUGAGUCCAACUAUUAAUAUGAAGAUGACAUCCAUUGUGGUCUUGUACAUUUUGUUGCCUUUCUGGGGUGAAGGACAUUGGUGACCAUUUGUUUCCUCUGGAGCGGUCGAUUGGUCAUGAACUUCCUGGUCCAGAUAGUUGCUGUGUCAUUCAUCAUGGUGGUUGAUCCUCAGGUAGUUAGGGAGGAAAAUAAACAAGAAGUUCUAUAUUUAAAACCACGUUUCAAUUUUAGACCUGA
RNAcentral lists this long non-coding RNA (2244 nucleotides) under Pan paniscus (pygmy chimpanzee). RNAcentral describes it as "lncRNA (ENSPPAG00000045053.1)". The record is from RNAcentral. Lineage: Eukaryota; Metazoa; Chordata; Mammalia; Primates; Hominidae.